This 585-nucleotide ribosomal RNA is filed under the name uncultured bacterium. RNAcentral's name for it is "bacterial SSU rRNA". It matches the Rfam family "Bacterial small subunit ribosomal RNA", at positions 224 to 801 of the family's 1533-position model. The record is from RNAcentral.
GAUGGCCUUGCGGUGCAUUAGCUAGUUGGUGGGGUAACGGCCCACCAAGGCGACGAUGCAUAGCCGACCUGAGAGGGUGAUCGGCCACACUGGGACUGAGACACGGCCCAGACUCCUACGGGAGGCAGCAGUAGGGAAUCUUCCACAAUGGACGAAAGUCUGAUGGAGCAACGCCGCGUGAGUGAUGAAGGUUUUCGGAUCGUAAAACUCUGUUGUAAGGGAAGAACACGUACGAGAGGAAAUGCUCGUACCUUGACGGUACCUUACGAGGAAGCCACGGCUAACUACGUGCCAGCAGCCGCGGUAAUACGUAGGUGGCAAGCGUUGUCCGGAAUUAUUGGGCGUAAAGCGCGCGCAGGCGGCCUUUUAAGUCUGAUGUGAAAGCCCCCGGCUCAACCGGGGAGGGCCAUUGGAAACUGGAAGGCUUGAGUACAGAAGAGAAGAGUGGAAUUCCACGUGUAGCGGUGAAAUGCGUAGAGAUGUGGAGGAACACCAGUGGCGAAGGCGACUCUUUGGUCUGUAACUGACGCUGAGGCGCGAAAGCGUGGGGUGCAAACAGGAUUAGAUACCCUGGUAGUCCACGCC